RNAcentral lists this ribosomal RNA (468 nucleotides) under uncultured bacterium. RNAcentral's name for it is "partial 16S ribosomal RNA". It matches the Rfam family "Bacterial small subunit ribosomal RNA", at positions 28 to 507 of the family's 1533-position model. The record is from RNAcentral.
GACGAACGCUGGCGGCGUGCUUAACACAUGCAAGUCGAACGGAAAGGCCCUGCUUUUGUGGGGUGCUCGAGUGGCGAACGGGUGAGUAACACGUGAGUAACCUGCCCUUGACUUUGGGAUAACUUCAGGAAACUGGGGCUAAUACCGGAUAGGAGCUCCUGCUGCAUGGUGGGGGUUGGAAAGUCUCGGCGGUUGGGGAUGGACUCGCGGCUUAUCAGCUUGUUGGUGGGGUAGUGGCUUACCAAGGCUUUGACGGGUACCCGGCCUGAGAGGGUGACCGGCCACAUUGGGACUGAGAUACGGCCCAGACUCCUACGGGAGGCAGCAGUGGGGAAUAUUGCACAGUGGGCGGAAGCCUGAUGCAGCAACGCCGCGUGCGGGAUGACGGCCUUCGGGUUGUAAACCGCUUUCGCCUGUGACGAAGCGUGAGUGACGGUAAUGGGUAAAGAAGCACCGGCUAACUACGUG